CAAAAUAUAAUUUAGUUAUCAAAAAUUGGUUCCUGUGGCAAAGAACACAAUUAGUUUAUUACAAAUAUCAAAAAAUAACAAGGAACAUUUAUCUAACUGCUAGCCUGACAAUUUACUCCAAGUUUAUACCGUAGUACACAUACAUGCCCAUGCAGUGCAUGGUACAUUUACAGUAUCAUGGAACUCUGACUUCUCAUUAAAUUGACUGGUGUAAACACCUCAUAGAGUUUUAAAACCUGUUUAUGGACUGUGGUAUGCAGUGAUGGAAGUGAAAGAAUUGGCAUUUAAGGUAAAUAAAUUGUCAGCUAGCUAGCUAUCAUAAACGUGUACCAUGUAAAUCAUGUACCACCAUAACCAUGCUUGAAAUCUAACCCACCAAACUGGCAAACAAAUAUCUCAAAUAGUGAUAACUAUAAAUCUUAUAGUUUCAAUAAAAAAUGGAACUUACUUUCAAA
Non-coding RNA from Paramuricea clavata, 455 nucleotides. The record is from the annotation of a GenBank genome assembly. NCBI's taxonomy places the organism in Eukaryota, Metazoa, Cnidaria, Anthozoa, Malacalcyonacea, Plexauridae.